GGAUUUAUAGCUCAGUGGCACAGCACCUGCCUUGCAAGCACAAGGUCCUGAGUUCAAUCCCCAGUACUA
RNAcentral lists this transfer RNA (69 nucleotides) under Heterocephalus glaber (naked mole-rat). It matches the Rfam family "tRNA". From Rfam's summary of the family: Transfer RNA (tRNA) molecules are approximately 80 nucleotides in length. Their secondary structure includes four short double-helical elements and three loops (D, anti-codon, and T loops). Further hydrogen bonds mediate the characteristic L-shaped molecular structure. tRNAs have two regions of fundamental functional importance: the anti-codon, which is responsible for specific mRNA codon recognition, and the 3' end, to which the tRNAs corresponding amino acid is attached (by aminoacyl-tRNA synthetases). tRNAs cope with the degeneracy of the genetic code in two manners: having more than one tRNA (with a specific anti-codon) for a particular amino acid; and 'wobble' base-pairing, i.e. permitting non-standard base-pairing at the 3rd anti-codon position. The record is from Rfam by way of RNAcentral. Lineage: Eukaryota; Metazoa; Chordata; Mammalia; Rodentia; Bathyergidae.